Molecule: ribosomal RNA, 2082 nt
Filed under: Triticum aestivum (bread wheat)
Lineage: Eukaryota; Viridiplantae; Streptophyta; Magnoliopsida; Poales; Poaceae
Description: partial small subunit ribosomal RNA
Source: RNAcentral
AUGGCCCUCACAUGGUUAUGGGUUGUUGUCCAUUAUAUAUCCUUUGACCAUCUUGCCAUGUUCACUUUGCAUGAUAUGCCCAUUCCUAUGCCUUUGCCAUGCAUUUGUGACCCAUGCUUUUCAUUACACAUGAUGAUUGAUUCUAGUACUUGUAUGUGUAUUUGCAAGCGUGGUGGAGAUAUUGUUUGUUAUUGCCAUGAUUGCUUUGUGCCCCAUGCCUAUGAUGAUACUACGAUCUUGAUUUGUGUUCGUGCUUGCGAUAUGUCAUGUACAUUGCCUAUGCCCAUUACUUGCUCACAUGACAUGAUUGCCAUGAUUUCCUCUAGUGUGUUGCAUCUUCGCUCCACUAGCUUGCACGACUUGAUUACUAUGCUUGCUUAUGUUGUAUCACCAAUGAUUUAUACUUGCUCCUUUCAUGCGGUUGAUGACAACCACCUACAUGCUUUGCACAUGAUUAAUAUUGCUUCUUGUCAUAUAUCUCCAUGUGGUGCCUCUCUCAUUCUAGAUGAGUUGCCAUGUAUCGAGUGCAAUUAUGCCUUUAGGAGGAUAACCAUAGCAUUCUCACAUAUGAUUGGAUAUUUUGACAUAUUUCUUGUGAAGCAUGCUUGCCUUACCUCUUUGCACCAUAUACCUAGUGCCAUGAAUAUUGCCAUUGUUGCAUCAUAUUAUUCAUGCACUUGUGCUUCUAAUGGUUAUGUCCAAAAGAAGAGAACCAUCAUGAUGGAUGAUGUGUUUAUCUACCAUGCGCAUACGUUCUUUGUUUUGUUGUGUGCAUGUGUAGGAUACUUGGACUUCGUGUCGACUUCCGCUUCACGUGAGUUGACCAUUCGAGCUCUUGAGAGCGAACCAUCGUCUACCACGACGAUUCUACAUCGCACUUGCUUGUACUUCGGCAUUGUGAAGGACGCACAAGGACACGCUUUCACGGUGAUAUCCUUCUCUUUUGAGAACCCCCAAACCAUGAUCAUGGAUAUUAUGGAUCAUACUACUUGUGUUGCUUUCCCCAUGAGACUUAUUGUUCAUCUUGGAUCACUUGAUUGCACACUUGUUAGAGAUCUUGCUUCGACUUGUCAUUUUAACCAUUCCAUGCAUCAUGAUAUAUAUGCCUUGUGUGUUGCAUCCAAUUCUUGGAUUAUUUGCUCCUCUCAUAUGUUUGGUUGCAACAAUGUCAUCACUUCACAUAUGCCAUGUCCCAUUGCUUGUCACAUGAUUGACUUGAUUGCCUCACAUAUGAUGAACAAUUGCUCUUUCUGUUGUGUUGAGUGCCACACUAUGUUCACUACACCCUAUGCACAUUAUGCUUGGAUUGUCUUGCACUUAACCCAUGUGUUUAGACAUCUCAUCUUCUUAGGUGUUGUGAAUGAUUCCUAUGCCUACCAUAGACCUUUCAUUGAGCGCUUUGCCCAUGCUUGCUAUGAACUUGAGGUAGAUGCUUAUUAUCUCCACACACAUAUUUGCAUCACUACCUCACAUUUACAUGUUUGUCCCCAUGAUAUCUUUGCUUGUGAUCAAUUGAUAUGCUUACAUGCCAUGUCACAAUCCUUUGUCAAACCAUAUGCUUUGCAUGAUGACGACACUUGUUUGGUGACUCACCUCUUGAAUGCUUGGUUUUGCACUAACUGUAACCACAUUUAUUUUUCCAAGUGUUUGUUGUCCUUACUCCUUUUGAAGGAAUCACAAGACGGUGCGACAUUGGAGAGUGCCCAUUUCGAGCUUCAAGAUGACAAGUACUUGGUGAACGUCCACUUCUACACGGAGAAGCCAUCUCUUUCCCAUGGUGAUUUGGUUUUCGAUCCAAGGUCGGAUCUUUCCCAAGGGAGGGGAGAUGAUGCGGAGCAUCCUAUGGACAUCACCAUGUCAAGAGUUCGUUUGGCAAGUGACACAUGCGACAUCUACUUCACAUACGCAAAGGUGAAUCAUCUCCUUUACACGUGCUCACUUGACACCUUCGAGGAUGGUAUACUACUUGACACUCCACUCGUGUGCAUGCAUAGGUAUUGUCGGAACACUACAGACGAGGAGGAGGAGUGCAAGCGCCAAGGAACAACUACACCAUCCGCGAGGGAAGCUUGGAAGCGAUGA